RNAcentral lists this transfer RNA (73 nucleotides) under Spirosoma sp. It matches the Rfam family "tRNA". From Rfam's summary of the family: Transfer RNA (tRNA) molecules are approximately 80 nucleotides in length. Their secondary structure includes four short double-helical elements and three loops (D, anti-codon, and T loops). Lineage: Bacteria; Pseudomonadati; Bacteroidota; Cytophagia; Cytophagales; Cytophagaceae. The record is from Rfam by way of RNAcentral.
ACAUCGGUAGCUCAAUUGGCAGAGCAACGGAUUCCAAAUCCGUAGGUUGUGAGUUCGAUUCUUACCCGGUGUG